AAUUCUCAACCUCUUCAGCUUUGUAAAGGCUGGCUAGGCUUGGAUUUUGGAGGUUGCUGGCUUCUUCAAGAAAUCAGCUCUUCUUAAAUGAAUUAGCAGAACCUUUACUGAUUAUCUCUUUGGUAUGAUAAUUAUCUAUACCACAGAAAUUCAGUGUGUCCUACAUGGGAAAAAGCUCUGCUUAAAAAUCGUCUUAUCCAGACACUUUGACA
This 212-nucleotide unclassified non-coding RNA is filed under the name uncultured Entolomataceae. RNAcentral describes it as "sequence contains ITS2". Lineage: Eukaryota; Fungi; Basidiomycota; Agaricomycetes; Agaricales; Entolomataceae. The record is from RNAcentral.